This is a long non-coding RNA of Chelmon rostratus (copperband butterflyfish), 357 nucleotides long. RefSeq lists it as uncharacterized. The transcript is spliced from 3 exons. Lineage: Eukaryota; Metazoa; Chordata; Actinopteri; Chaetodontiformes; Chaetodontidae. The record is from RefSeq and is a predicted model, not a curated record.
AAUCGCUGAUAGGGAAUGAAAGACAUGUUUUUUGGUGUGGUGACAGCUGCUCUCUCCGGUCCGUAAACAUCGCGCACAAGGCGUCGGGAUUCCCUUUGUCCCCCACGUGUGGAUGAGCGGUGGAGAAGACGAGGUGUACAUGUGAAGGUGCCGUGGUUGGACAGCGAGGGAGAUACUCGAGGAAACAUGAGGAAGAGCAGGAGUGUUCUCACGGUGUCUCCCAACAAUGACAGCAAAGAGCCUCCGGAUUGCUGCCUCAGUGAGUCCUUCACAUCCCCGUCCUGCACGCUGGGUGUGGACCUGCGCCGCGGCCGACGCCGUUUCUCGGGAAACCUGCAGCUGCCCCCGUUGUCAUGG